RNAcentral lists this ribosomal RNA (337 nucleotides) under uncultured soil bacterium. RNAcentral's name for it is "bacterial SSU rRNA". It matches the Rfam family "Bacterial small subunit ribosomal RNA", at positions 26 to 376 of the family's 1533-position model. The record is from RNAcentral.
AGAUUGAACGCUGGCGGCAUGCCUAACACAUGCAAGUCGAACGGGAGUAGCAAUACUCUAGUGGCGGACGGGUGAGGAAUACGUAGGAAUUUGCCCUUAAGUGGGGGAUAACCCGGGGAAACCCGGAUUAAUACCGCAUGACCUCGAAAGAGCAAAGUGGGGGAUCGCAAGACCUCACGCUUUUGGAGAAGCCUACGUCGGAUUAGCUAGUUGGUGAGGUAAUGGCUCACCAAGGCGACGAUCCGUAACUGUCUGAGAGGAUGAUCAGUCACACCGGAACUGAGACACGGUCCGGACUCCUACGGGAGGCAGCAGUGGGGAAUAUUGGACAAGUGGG